AGAGUUUGAUCCUGGCUCAGAAUAAACGCUGGCGGCGUGCCUAACACAUGCAAGUCGAACGAGAAAGCCUGUUUUCGGACGGGCGAGUAAAGUGGCGCACGGGUGAGUAACGCGUAGGUAACCUGCCCCUAUGUUCGGGAUAACAGUGCGAAAGUGCUGCUAAUACCGGAUAUGGCCCUGGAGCGGUGGCUCCAUGGUCAAAGUCGGCCUCUCGCAGAAGCUGACGCACGGGGAUGGGCCUGCGUCCUAUCAGCUAGUUGGUAGGGUAACGGCCUACCAAGGCUUCGACGGGUAGCUGGUCUGAGAGGAUGAUCAGCCACACUGGCACUGAAACACGGGCCAGACUCCUACGGGAGGCAGCAGUGAGGAAUUUUGCGCAAUGGCCGCAAGGCUGACGCAGCAACGCCGCGUGGGUGAAGAAGGCCUUCGGGUCGUAAAGCCCUGUCAGGUGGGAAGAAUGAUUCGGGAGUGAAUAAUUCCCGGAUGUGACGGUACCACCAGAGGAAGCACCGGCUAACUCCGUGCCAGCAGCCGCGGUAAUACGGAGGGUGCAAGCGUUAUUCGGAAUUACUGGGCGUAAAGCGCGUGCAGGCGGGCGAGCAAGUCUGAUGUGAAAGCCCCGGGCUUAACCUGGGAAGUGCAUUGGAAACUGCUCGUCUUGAGUUGCGGAGAGGAAGGGGGAAUUCCCGGUGUAGAGGUGAAAUUCGUAGAGAUCGGGAGGAAUACCAGUGGCGAAGGCGCCCUUCUGGACGACAAC
Molecule: ribosomal RNA, 757 nt
Filed under: uncultured bacterium
Lineage: Bacteria
Description: bacterial SSU rRNA
Rfam family: Bacterial small subunit ribosomal RNA
Source: RNAcentral